Molecule: transfer RNA, 74 nt
Filed under: Thermoanaerobaculum aquaticum
Lineage: Bacteria; Pseudomonadati; Acidobacteriota; Thermoanaerobaculia; Thermoanaerobaculales; Thermoanaerobaculaceae
Also listed under: 6 other names
Description: tRNA-Gly
Rfam family: tRNA
About the family: Transfer RNA (tRNA) molecules are approximately 80 nucleotides in length. Their secondary structure includes four short double-helical elements and three loops (D, anti-codon, and T loops).
Source: RNAcentral
GCGGGGGUAGCUCAAUGGCAGAGCUCCAGCCUUCCAAGCUGGCGGUGCGGGUUCGAUUCCCGUCCCCCGCUCCA